UUGUGCUAAGGUAGCAUAAUCAUUUGUCUUUUAAUUAAAGACUAGAACAAAAGAUUUAACAAUUCAAUAAAUAUAUGCUUAUUAUAAAUUUCAAUUUAUUUUAAAUGUAAAAAAACAUUUAUAUAAUAAAAAGACGACAAGACCCUUUUAAACUUAACUACAGUUUAACUGGGGCAGUUAAUUAAUUAUUACUUUUACAAAAAUAAUAAUAAAAAAGAUCCAGAAAAACUGAUUACCUGAUCAAGUUACUAUAGGGAUAACAGCGUAAUAUUCAUCUAAAGAUCUCAUUUAAAUGAAAGAUUACGACCUCGAUGUUGAAUUAAUAUCCUAAAUAUAUUGCAGCAAAUAAUCAAA
This 354-nucleotide ribosomal RNA is filed under the name Arachosia minensis. Its description in RNAcentral is "partial 16S ribosomal RNA". Lineage: Eukaryota; Metazoa; Arthropoda; Arachnida; Araneae; Anyphaenidae. The record is from RNAcentral.